CCUACGGGUGGCAGCAGUCGAGAAUCAUUCACAAUGGGGGAAACCCUGAUGGUGCGACGCCGCGUGGGGGAAUGAAGGUCUUCGGAUUGUAAACCCCUGUCAUGUGGGAGCAAAUUAAAAAGAUAGUACCACAAGAGGAAGAGACGGCUAACUCUGUGCCAGCAGCCGCGGUAAUACAGAGGUCUUAAGAGUUGUUCGGAAUCACUGGGCGGAAAGCGUUCGUAGGCUGGUUCGUAAGGCGUGUGUGAAAGGCGCGGGCUCAACCCGCGGACUGCCCAUGAUACUGCGAGACUAGAGUAAUGGAGGGGGAACCGGAAUUCUCGGUGUAGCAGUGAAAUGCGUAGAUAUCGAGAGGAACACUCGUGGCGAAGGCGGGUUCCUGGACAUUAACUGACGCUGAGGCACGAAGGCCAGGGGAGCGAAAGGGAUUAGAUACCCGGGUAGUC
Molecule: ribosomal RNA, 446 nt
Filed under: uncultured bacterium
Lineage: Bacteria
Description: partial 16S ribosomal RNA
Rfam family: Bacterial small subunit ribosomal RNA
Source: RNAcentral